RNAcentral lists this ribosomal RNA (292 nucleotides) under uncultured Verrucomicrobiota bacterium. Its description in RNAcentral is "uncultured Verrucomicrobia bacterium partial 16S ribosomal RNA". It matches the Rfam family "Bacterial small subunit ribosomal RNA", at positions 505 to 796 of the family's 1533-position model. The record is from RNAcentral. Lineage: Bacteria; Pseudomonadati; Verrucomicrobiota.
GUGUCAGCCGCCGCGGUAAUACAGAGGUCCCGAGCGUUGUUCGGAUUCACUGGGCGUAAAGGGUGCGUAGGUGGUUGGUUAAGUUUGAGGUGAAAGCUCCGAGCUCAACUCGGAAAAUGCCUUGAAGACUAUCUGACUAGAGGAUUGGAGGGGAGAUUGGAAUUCUCGGUGUAGCAGUGAAAUGCGUAGAUAUCGAGAGGAACACCAGUGGCGAAGGCGAAUUUCUGGACAAUUCCUGACACUGAGGCACGAAAGCCAAGGGAGCAAACGGGAUUAGAUACCCCUGUAGUCC